Molecule: transfer RNA, 67 nt
Filed under: Ectothiorhodospiraceae bacterium WFHF3C12
Lineage: Bacteria; Pseudomonadati; Pseudomonadota; Gammaproteobacteria; Chromatiales; Ectothiorhodospiraceae
Description: tRNA-Phe
Source: RNAcentral
GGCUCUGACGGGUGUCCAGAGCGUCCACGAAGCGGAGUCGUAGGUUCGAAUCCUACACGGCCCACCA